UACGAAGGGGGCUAGCGUUGUUCGGAAUCACUGGGCGUAAAGGGCGCGUAGGCGGCUUUGUAAGUCGGGGGUGAAAGCCUGUGGCUCAACCACAGAAUUGCCUUCGAUACUGCAUGGCUUGAGACCGGAAGAGGUAAGUGGAACUGCGAGUGUAGAGGUGAAAUUCGUAGAUAUUAGGAAGAACACCAGUGGCGAAGGCGGCUCACUGGUCCGGUACUGACGCUGAGGUGCGAAAGCGUGGGGAGCAAACAGG
Molecule: ribosomal RNA, 253 nt
Filed under: uncultured bacterium
Lineage: Bacteria
Description: partial 16S ribosomal RNA
Rfam family: Bacterial small subunit ribosomal RNA
Source: RNAcentral